UACGGAGGGUGCAAGCGUUAUUCGGAUUUACUGGGCGUAAAGCGCAUGUAGGCGGUUCAAUAAGUCUGGUGUGAAAUCCCUGGACUCAAUUCAGGAAGCGCAUUGGAUACUGUUGGACUGGAGUGUAGGAGAGGAUGACGGAAUUCCUGGUGUAGAGGUGAAAUUCGUAGAUAUCAGGAGGAACAACAGAAGCGAAGGCGGUCAUCUGGACUAUAACUGACGCUGAGAUGCGAAAGCGUGGGGAGCAAACAGG
RNAcentral lists this ribosomal RNA (253 nucleotides) under uncultured bacterium. Its description in RNAcentral is "partial 16S ribosomal RNA". It matches the Rfam family "Bacterial small subunit ribosomal RNA", at positions 524 to 776 of the family's 1533-position model. The record is from RNAcentral.